Molecule: long non-coding RNA, 2559 nt
Filed under: Phascolarctos cinereus (koala)
Lineage: Eukaryota; Metazoa; Chordata; Mammalia; Diprotodontia; Phascolarctidae
Description: lncRNA (ENSPCIG00000012088.2)
Source: RNAcentral
AUCAGUUUGUAACUUAAAUGAAAAUCUUAACUCUUAGGAGAGUGUUCUGUGGAUCCCCAACCUCCUUUUCUUAUCGUUGUAUCAGUUGGGUUUUUAUUAUCUUUGUUUAAGUCAGCUCCUAUUCCUUUUUAUAGAUUUCAGAGGAUACCAGUAUGGAAAAUUUGUUCACUGAUGAUAAUGUAGACAAGCACAGGACCAGCUCACCACAUGGGUCAACCAAGUUAUCAAUGAAGGAUCCAACUACUGAUGUGGAAAAUGGGAAACAGCCGAGUGUUGUCCUCAAAGAUCUCUUCUUUCAACAGACAAGCCCCCAGACAUAUCAUGUGGGGUUGGAGCAACCUUCAAAUUCUGAUGGAGAAAGUAAGCAAGUGAAUGCCAUAAGUAUCUUGGAAUCUGAAGUGGCUGAUGCUUUAGCUGAGAGCAAGGAUGGCAAGACUGGGAAGCCAUGCUAUGAAAACAAGUCACCACUUGGAGCAAAUGUCACACAGAGGAAGAAACGGGCCUCUUCCCUUUACCUAAAAUGUCAGACUAUAGCUGUGGACUUUGAGACAGACAUAUGCUCAAAUCGUUUUUCCCGGUGGGCCACUGGCCCUAGAAGUCCUGUGAGACAAACGAAUGGACGAGAAGCUUCCACCUUCUCAUGGCUCUUUGAUCCCCACUGUGAUUCCAACAGCAAUACCUCUCUACUGGAGGAUGCAAUGCUUUCUGGGCAGCUACCAGGGGAAAUAGUGGGUAGUAAGAAUAGGUCUUUGAGUACUAAUGGGCAGGACAGAUCAGUCACAACUUUGACAGAGGACCAAAACAAAAUCACCAGUAGUGCUGACAAAGAUGUUGCCUCACCUUUGAGAUUCGAGAAUUGUGUUUUUACAGAACAGGAGGUCCAAGACACAGCUGGAAUAUAUCCUAUUGAGAAUUCAGACAACAAUAGGAAAAAACAGUCCCAGAGCCUUAGAACACUGAGCCCAGUGGCCCAGACAUCAAGUAAAUUAGCACUGAUAUCAUCUGUGUUCCCAAUGGAGAUGGACUCUUUGGGAGAAAACCCAACCCCCACAAGCAGCAGGCCUCCUGAGGACCAGCUUUACCAAGUAAGUGACAGAAUUAGAAAAUGUAGGCAAACCUAUUCAAGGAGUGAGGUGUGUUCAGAUAGCCAAGAAAAGAUAGCAUUACCUCCCUCUGAAAAGAGAAGGAAAACGUUUUCAGAAAAACAGAUCGAGGUGGAGAACCAGAGCCCAAAUUGUGAUCCAACUUGUGGGAGGUCUGGGGUGAAACGAUCAUCUCAGAAGAAUAAGGUCACUGAUAAGCAGAUGUUCUCAAAUGAGAUAAAUAAGGAAAUAAAACAGAUAAGAAACAGGAUGUCUACUGAUUUACUCAACACUCCUAGCAAAGUAAAUGACUACAGAGAAAAAAACAGAAAAGAGUCAGAAAAGGUGGUGAUAAAUAUGGACCAGCAGAUCCCAAAUACAAUCAGUCAGGCUCCCCAGUGUUUACCUUGUGUGAGAACACUCAGUGUGGAAAUUCCGCAGAAAAUGACUGACAAGCCUUUGAAACAGGAAGUAAGCAGGAGGACCCAUGGCACUAAAGCCAGUGACUGCAGAAAGGAAAACAUGAUUCCACUGGAAUGCAACUUGAAGCAUGACUCUCAAGAACAUAUACUUAGGCACGAAACUAAAGGAAGACAAGUAAAACAGAAUAAAAACCAACCGAGGAAGGCAUGCUCACAGAAGAGUAAAAUGGAAACUUCUAACUCAGACAAUAAACAAAGCAGUGUAAAGGAUUCACCGAGCAGAAAGAAGCAAGCUCUGAAAAGUCAUGUAGGUAACUCUAGAAUUCCUAUACUGGCUUCGUGUUCUAUGGAACCAGGCCUAAAUAACAUACGCCAUGCUUCUGUUAAGAGUAUGGAGGACAUCCAAAAUAAUGUGAAUAAGAAACAGACACCAUCAACUGUACAGAUCAAUGCAACUAGGAAUGUGUUGCGGUCAAUGACUAAAGCAAAGCAAAAGGUUGAAAAUGUUCUUUCAGCCAAAGACCAAUCUGAUUUUGGAAAAAAAGUUGUUUCUGGGACUGUUUCAGGAGAACACGAAUCCACAGAAGUUGGCCAAGUGAUGCAGGAUGAAGGAAGUGAUAGCCUUUCUAAAGCAGAGAGAAACUUCUCCCAGAGAGUCACCAAAAAAUUGGUCCUGAAUAGUUCUGGGUCUUUGGAACCCUCCUAUGUGAUCUCGUCCCCAGAGCAACCUGUAAGGACUUCUGCUGUAGCAGCCUUCCAACUUCUGGAACCCCAUGUGGUAAAUGGUAGAGUUUUAACAGCCCUUCUGCUGAGCCAGAGAGUUGCCAAAUCACCAAAGGAAGGAACUCCCCUACUGGCCAAAAAGAUAGCUGGAGUGUGGCAGUUCUUCCUGGAGGCUCUUUGAGUGAAAAUACUCCAAAGAAAGAAAACCAAGAGUCAUACAACAUGGAAAACACCAGAUUUUCUUCAUCAAAAUUCCUGAGAGAUUCCACAGUAAGACGUUCAGUGAGAAAGAAAGAAAAUCUUGUUAGCUAUCAAGAGCCUCGACUCAAUUG